Molecule: long non-coding RNA, 2585 nt
Filed under: Oryctolagus cuniculus (rabbit)
Lineage: Eukaryota; Metazoa; Chordata; Mammalia; Lagomorpha; Leporidae
Description: lncRNA (ENSOCUG00000036825.1)
Source: RNAcentral
AACCCCCUCUUUCCAUGUGUCCAGUAACUGACGGACCUGGGGUUCAUUUUCUAGACAGGAGGCAUGUUUGGCAGAGCUCGAUGGAUCCAGCUCUGCAUGUCCUGCCGACUUGAGGACAUUUGCUUCCAGGUGUUUGGCCCUGGGCUCUCUGAGCUGCUGCUGAGGGUGAUGCUGGCUGAGUCUUCAGUGAUGCCCAUUGUGUGCUGAGCGUGGAUACAGUCAUGUCGCUGCUUCCUCAGAGUGACCCUGGAACAUGGGUGCCUGUGUGCCCUGGGUGUGAGCCUGUGUCAGGACACGGAUGUCUGGGCAGGCACUAUGCAGAGCACUCAAUUCAGCCACGAGACUCAUGCACUCUAGAAAUGCCUAAAGAUGCUGAAGAACUGGAGCAAAUAUCAGAGUAAUAGAAGCUAAGGAGGAGGUUGAGGGUCCCCUUAUGACAACUUCCUGCAUGGUUGGUACAAGCAGUGCCUAUUUCCAAGGCAGUACGCUGCCUGAUUCUCAGAUGGCUGGAGCUGUGUCACAAAACAGACAUGGGGAUCACUGCCCAGGUGUGGGGGAAGAAGUCAACACUGCUGCUAGACAUGAACAAGAUAAAGACCGAGAGUCCAGGAAAAUACCAGGUACGGGCCCUCUACCUGCUCUCACACAGGUAGCACUAACAAGCCAGACAUUGUCACAGCCAAAGUCUCCCACCUGUUGUAAAGUGCAGCCCAAGGGAUGGCCAGUAGUUCUAGGGCCUCCUCACCGACUUGCCUUCCUUUCUCUGGAACCUCCUCCAGCCCCUUUUCAGACUCUCCCAGACUUGGCUGGCCCUGGGUACUCACACUCCAUGACAGAAAGCCUGCCUCUCUCCCUGAUGGGUUGUUCUGUGAACUUUGGCCCAGCACAGACACCAGGCCCAAGAACAGAUUCCUCCUACCUCAAGGCUACAGUCAUAUGUGGAAGAUGGGUUGGAGGGGCUAUGGGAUAGGCUAGUGCCCUGGAGAUAAAGGGACUCCUCAGAGAGGUUAGGGGUCUUGGGAGAGUUGUGGGAGUCCUGGAAAGGAUCAAGGGUCUGGAAGAUGUGGGUAACACCAUAUACCCAAAGCUCUCCUAGCACAAAGAUCAGCAUUCAUCAUGUUCUCAGAAGCUAUGGGGUACCAAGCCCCAAGCUGGGGCAGUUGGGACCACGGCAUUCACUAAUAGAGAAUGAGAGCAGCAAGCAAAGCAAUGCUGCCCAAAGCAAGGAGCUCUGGGAGACCUGUGUGGAUCUGGGGAAGAGACUUUCUGUCUGGACAUCAGGACAAGGGACUCCUGGGUGCCAGCAUGGAAGCAGAGACCUAGAGUGUGACAUGGAGGUGGUCGUGGGAAGAGUGCAGGGACCGAAGGAGGGGUCCUGGGGUAGGCAGGUGGGAAGGAGCCUCAGAGUGUUAGGAUGAUGUAGAAUGGAAACCCCCGAGGUGAGGGUAGAGGCCAGGCCUAGAGAGACAAGGCUGUCCUUGUGCUAUUUUUUUUUUUGACAGGCAAAGUUAGUCAGUGAGAAAGAGAGACAGAGAGAAAGGUCUUCCAUCUGUUGGUUUACUCCCCAAAUGGCUGCUAUGGCCGGCGCGUUGCACCGAUCCGGAGCCAGGAGCCAGGUGCUUCCUCCUGGUCUCCCAUGCGGGUGCAGGGCCCAAGCACUUGGGCCAUCCUCCACAGCCUUCCCAGGCCACAGCAGGGAGCUGGACUGGAAGAGGAGCAACUGGCACAGAACCGGUGCCCCAACCGGGACUAGAACCUGGAGUGCCGGCGCCGCAGGUGAAGGAUUAGCCUAGUGAGCCACAGUGCCGGCCUAUCCUUGUACUUUAACAGGUGGCCUGGAGAGCAGAGCUUGGAGAGAUGAGGUCAUGGGAAAUCUCAGUCACCUGGAGGUUGUGAGAAGGGCCAGAGUGCAGAGUGAGGGGUCGAUGCCGACCAAGAGCUAGCUGGGAGCAAAAUCAGGUUGGACUACGAUAUGCAUGGAAUGAAUUGAGGGUGGGGGCCAUCCAAAUUAUGCCCUAUUUUACUAUUUGUGAUCUCAUAUUUCUGCCUUUUUUACUUUUUAUUUUGACUAUGCCAAUGUAUCUCAACAAUCAGGAAUGAAUAGUGUACCAAACCAAAAAAUUCCAUCCUCACAGUUCCCACAGGUAUCUGAAGCAGUCUCCCGUCCCGCCUCACACAGCCACUCCCCCAGUGGAAAAUAACUUAAAACAAAGCCAAAUGCAUUUGUAGAUAUCUCAGUGUGCAUUAGUAAUUUAGAAAUGUUUGUUAAACACGAGCAUCACCACCCUUCAAAUAUUGCUGGAAGUCUACAAUAUCAUCAGUAUUCAUAUCUACCUAACUGCCUUCCAGUCUCUAACUAUAUUCCAUCAGAAUGUGGAGCUUCUCUGUAGAGGAGCUAGUAUUAAACACGUAAAGUAAAAACUUUCAAAAAUGCUUUAAAUAAUGACAAUUCCCAUUGUGCCACUAAAAAGGCCAUACUGAGUUAUAAAUUCAACAAAAUGCUAGGGUAUCAGUUUGCAGAAAAUUACACACACUCAUAACAGAGAUAAAAGAUCUAAAUAAAUGCAGAGUUGGACUAUGUUUCA